RNAcentral lists this transfer RNA (70 nucleotides) under Sphaerodactylus townsendi. RNAcentral's name for it is "tRNA-Ala". The record is from RNAcentral. Lineage: Eukaryota; Metazoa; Chordata; Lepidosauria; Squamata; Sphaerodactylidae.
CCAUUGCUCAGUGGUUGAGCAUCUGCUUGGCAUGCAGAUGGUCUUACGUUCAAUCCCCAGCACAGAAGGA